UAAUAAAGGUGUUUUUCCUUUCUGUGUAAUAUUUAUUUCAUUUUUAAUGCGACAACACUUCCAAAUGCAUAUCGAAUUCAAAAUGCUUUUCACUCUGUUGCUUGGAUCAGAAAAAGGACAAUGUUUUUUAUAGAAAAGAUUUUACAGAAUCUAUUCUACUCUAACCUUCAAAACAAUGACGAUCAAUGUUCAGUGGACAAAAGAAAGCAAUUUCACGGUCUAUACAUCUGUAAACCUGAAAAAAUAUAUAUACCAUAGAGGAAAUGAUAAAAAGUUUAAAACGUUCAAUACUAACAAUAUUUUAAUCUAAUAGGUAGUAUACUUUCCAAUAGCCAACCUUCAUGGAAGGUAAUAAAGUUGUUUUUAUUUGAUUACAAUAUGAUAACAUGCAGACAAGCAUUAACAAACAACAAUAUUAACAAUGCAAAUUAUUAAGCCCAACCCUACACAUUGAAAUAAUGAUGCAUUAUGUGUCAUAUAUGUACUAUAUUGGUUUUACUGAGCACAUGCAAGCCAAAAACAUGCUUUCAUCAAUUAAAAUUAACAACAAAGGCCAAAUAAAAAAUUACCUGCUUAAUCUUAAACAAAGGUUUUUAAAUGAAACAAAGAAAAAAAAUGAUAAGACUUGGAUUAUUUUAAUUUAAAGUAAAAAUGUUUGGUUUUUAUACACACAUGAACAAGUAUAAUGUAGGACAUGACUACAGACAUAGGAACAUGUCACUUCUAACAAGGUAUUUUUCCUUCAAUGCUAUGAUUAGUUUGGUGAAUUCAUCUGAUUUAAAUAAAUAACAAUAUAAAGUGGACAUACUAGAGCUUGAAAACAGACCACACCAAUUGUUUUGUGUGUGUGUGUGUGUGUGUGUGUGUGUGUGUGUGUGUGUGUGUGUGUGUGUGUGUGUGUGUGUGUGUGUGUGUGUGUGUGUGUGUGUGUGUGUGAAUUGUGAAAUCAUAACGAGCUGUCUCUGGAACUUAACCCUUAGAUGCAGACUCUGAUUCUGGGAGGCAUUUUUUUACUUUGCCAAUCAUCUUGUUACAAAACAUUGUUCACAACCAUUUCCAUUUGUACAACUCUUUCCUUAGAGAAAGCACAGCUUUUCCAAAAAUACAAUAUAGAAUAUAUCAACAGCAAUUAAAACAACAGAUCAAAUGAUUUUAAGAAAAUGAAAACAGGAUAACAAUGCCUUCCCAGACUAAUGCCACCGAAAAAAAGUGUUAAGUACUCCAGAUCCGCAUUAAAGGGUUUAAGCACACAUCUGCAUAUUUGAUCUAUUUACGCCAAAUGUCACGAGAACACAAAACAAACAACAAACAUAUGACAUUGGUCUAUCUAUCGGUCAAAUUAAACAGGAAAAUCCCUCGGUUUGCAUGAAUACACUCACAUUCAGAGGAAAAGUGGGGUACAGUACUCAACAUGGAACCCUUUUACAUUAGCAGAAAAUGAAAUGAAAAAGAGAUCAGAGUCACAUCGAAGCAUAUAUUGUGAGGUGCAUUGAGGAUAACUGAUGUGUGAAUCAAAAUGAAUUCACACGUGAAGGAAGAGAGCAGUAAAACUGUAUGAGCAGGGAAACAAACACACUUCGGAUAAAAGUUCAGCUAGUUUGUCUGACAAAAUCCCCAAAGUAUUUACAAGAUCAGGGCAGUUAGGUGUUGGUGUUCUGUUAUACUGUCUUGCAUUGUAGAUUACAUUCAUAUAUCUAGCAAAAUAUCUUUCACUACACCCUCCAGUCUUCAAGGGCUCUACACUUUCACACUAAACUGUGGGAAUAGUACUUUUACUUUGUAAAAGUAAGAUAACAUGUAUUGUCCAUUCAUCACACAGCUCUGGUAGUUCUACAGGUGUAGUUCAAUAGGUGUAGGUUUUGUGAGCAUCCUAGGGUGUAGGGGUGGGAAAAGCUGGCUUUUGGCCCCACCUGGUGGCUAAACAACCCAUUACAAGGUGUGGCAUCUCUCCACAGAGACUUAAUUGACUGCAGCUGCACAUCUUGUACAGCUGGCUGCAAUUAGGGCGGCAGAACAUGGGGAGGACACACCAAGGUUUUAUCGCAAAUAUUGGACCAGUUUGCACCCAAUGCCGAAGGUUUGAAGUUCUCUCUGCCCUGGGGUAAAAGAUUAUCUUCCCCAGUGACUUACGUUUAUGUUCAGUUGCUGACAUAAGGGCCAGUUGUUGAUUUUGAUUAUUGGCCUCAUUUCUUUGUGAGAACAUUCUUUUGGGACAUGAAGAUUCCCCAAGCUACCUGUGAACCCUUUAUUUAUUUAAUAAAUCCUCUUUGAGUGCUGAAUUGCCUUGUCUGUCUCUUGGUUUUGCAUUACCACACAUGUGACACACUCCUCCAUCUACGGAGUUGUUACACUGGUGGAGAAUGUGAGUGUCCCCGUGUGGUAGUGAAACCUGAGACAACCAUUAGACAAGUUAUGGUGCCCUGUAGGCUGUGAGGACAGGGUUUUUUAAGUCGGUUUUUACAAGAGAAAAUGCUGCUGGCAGAAGAAUGGAUGUCAAGUCCCUCAACCUUGAGGUGGUUGGCGACGGAGGGGACUAAGCACCACACAUAAGGGAGCACUGAAGAGCUCUGAAGGUAGUCUUGAGUUUCUCACAGGCCAUAAAUAACUCUCGGCUCCCGGGUGGCGCAGCGUUCUAAGGCACUGCAUCUCAAUGCAAGAGGCAUCACUAGAGGCCCUGGUUUGAUUCCAAGCUGUAUCACAUCCACCCGUGAUUGUGAGUCCCAAAGGGCGGUACACAAUUGGCCCAGCAUCGUCUGGGUUUGGCCGGGGUAGGCAGUCAUUGUAAAUAAGAAUUUGUUCUUAACUGACUUGCCUAGUUUAAUAAAGGGGCUCCUUGUGGAUCCAGAAAUCACUGCAGCUAUCAGUGACAUGAAAAAUGUUGCUAGAAGACUGAACAGUGCUUAGCCAGACGUAAGUACCGCCACCUGUGUCUGUAACAAAGAAGUGCCAGCUGAUACUUCAAGGGGGAAGGCAAAGGAAGAAGUGAGCAGUGCGCAGACACCCAGGGGCACGAGGGCCUCCCUACUAGAUGCUGACCAGGCCAAGGAAGCCUUCAAGAGGCAGUUUGAAGAAGAGAAGACCAGCAAAGAGGCCCUGAAGGAGCGUCUGGGGUGCCUGUGCGCCGUCCUACAAGAAGAGCGUCAUGGCCUCAAACGGCUCCAUGAGAAGUCAAGGCAGCUGGCCACCUUGCAAGAGGAGACUUUCAGCAACAGGAAGAGGGUAACCUGGCUGAAAAGUCAACUGAAAGAGAAUCAAGUAUGGUCCUCAGCCUGCAGGAGAAGUGCAGGGACCAAGGGGAAGAGGUGAGAAGGUAAAGACUAAGUUCCAGGAUGUUGUAGUAACUUUGGAAGAAGAGGUCACUGUUCUGAAUCGAGAACAUUUGUCUUAAAGAGGUAGUUCACGCUGCCAAUGAGCAAUCUGAAAAGCUCAUGAAAAGUAAUGCUCGGCUCAGAGGAAAAGCUCAGGUGAGAAGAAUUAGAGGCAGGAAAGCUGCAGCUGAAGAGGGUCCUGGAGGUCUCUGAGGUAGCUCACGAGUGUGCAGAAAAUGAGCAUAGGGAGCAGGUAGCCAGCACCCAGAAUUUAGAGAUCUGCCGGCAGAGGGCAGAGCUACAAGGGGAAGCCCAGGCUGGGAUGUUGGCCCUGUUGGAAGAAAAGCUGCACCCCAGUUCAAAACGAACAGGGGUUUCCACAAAGGUGCUGGAUAAGCAGUAAGAGCAAGCAGACCGAGCAGGAACUGCCCAGGUAAUUGAGAAGCAAUGAAGAGGAACAAUGUGCAGGCCUGUCUGGAGGAGGAGCAGGCAGCAAGAAGGCUUGAGCAGGAGGCAGUGAAGAGCCUCAUAAGUGAAUUGAAAAGGAAUGAAGAGAUGGCAAAGAAGUCAGCGAUGGAAGCCAAGCAGAGAGUGGUGGAAUUGAUGGAGGAGAAGAUGUCCCUGGCAAGUGAAGCCUCUGAAUUGCAAUCAUAAGUGGAAAACGCAAUGAGGUUCAGUAAAUGCAGGAUGUUGUUGACAGGCUGGAGACAUCUAAUAUGGCCUCGAGGGCCAAGUGGGAGCAGAUCUUCUUGUUGCUCAAAAAGGAGCAGGAGAGGCUAAGUAGCCUUGAGGUGCAACUGCGUGAAAAGCAUCAACACAGCCAUCAGGAAAGUCCUGGACUAGGGGGGAGACGGAGCACUGAUGGGAUCAAAUCCCACUCUCCAUUUCAGGGGACAUGUUUGCUCCUUCGUGUGAGUUGUUUACCCACACCACUGAACAGCCCCUUGACCGAAGAGAAAACAGCCUGUAUGUCCAGAACCCAUGGCCAGAGAAGAUUAAAGGAACCCCGAAAAAGAAAACCUGGACCAGAGCAUGGUUACACAGAGGGUUCCCAGGACAACCACACCAACAAGAAUGUCAGUCCAAAUACAUUGCACUGAUGACUCUCCCACUUUGUUUUCCCCAGAAGAGGUUUCAAGGUCCCCUGAUGGUGAAGUGGUGACAGGGAGAUGGCGGUCCAAAGGAUUCAGCAGAGACCAGGGAAGUUCCAGUGCUCCAAAGUCAAAAACUGGUGGGGAGACUGGGGUGAGCCCGUAGAAGGGCACUACCAGCCAAGAGGGAAGCAGCCCAAUACUCUGGUGAGUGAAGUUUCGUCAUGAGUUAAGAGGUCUGAAGGAAGGUUGAAUUGUGAUUCAGAAGUGAAGAGGUUUAAAGUCUGAAGUGUCUAACCAUGGUUGACGUGAGUCUUCUUUCCAAAACCCAGAAGACAGAACUGCCAGCAGGUGGAUCACUUGCACAGAAGGCAGUGAGACAAAGAACCCAACAGGGCGGUUGAGGCAACUGGCUCACCCUCAGGUCAAACCUCUGACACGACGCAGAGGAAAAAGUCACAGCCAGAGAAGAAGAAUAGUUGGUUUGUCAGGCCUUUAAAGACAGGAAGAGGCCAAGGAGGCAGUGGAACUCUGCCAGUCAUCCACCCAGUCAAACGUGAAUGGAAGAGCUACAAAACAUGAGUAAGCCUGACAAACCAACUAUGUUACUGAGCCUCCCCAGGAGUGGUGGAGUGUUGGAGAGUGGGCCUGGGAGUCAGAGGGCAAGUUCAUUAAGAUGGAUGAUGGUUAUAUGGUAACCCAAGACUUUGCCAAGCUCUUGGUUACCAGGGGGCCUCAGGGAGAGUCUUCCAACUCCACAGAAACUGGUCAACUACCAUCAGGUACACCACCAGGGGACAGCGAGCCCCACCUUUACCAUGAGGUAAAGGUCCAAGACGGCACUGUGGUGGUGAGUAUGACCAAUGAAAAGGGAUGUUCAGAAAUGGAGAAACCUCAAACUCCUGGCAUGGACCUUCAAAUGUCCUUUGACCAAAGCUGAGGCAGGUGGCAUGCUGUCGGGGUGCUCUAUUUUGAAAAUGUUGAAGAAGCAUGGUUUUCCAAGAAUGGCUGGAGGUGACCAAAAGAAAUGCCCUGUGAAAGAAAAGGGGCUUGAGGUAAAACUGAGGUAAAACAAACAUUUCUGAACAUUUCUGUGAUAAUAACCCAAGACUUUGCAGAAACCCUGAGGCCCAAGUGGAAAAAGGCGAGCCGAUGUCAUUCAAAGGAGAACGGGAAAGCUGUUGAGGAGGCACAGACGCAUGGAGGUGAGAGCCUUCCCCCUCUCAAUAACCAGUUAUUGCCCCAGAAGGUGGCCGAGAACCAGACCCAUGAAGAGGGUGAACCAUGGAGAUGACAAACAUCAACCUUUGUUGUAUGACCCCUAGAGGUCCUGGGGUGUACCUCCAUGGCCUUGGAUUAGAUGCCUGGUCAAGAGUUGACUCUAUCGGGGCAUUGGCCUGUACAAACCACAAGUUGAAGCAGGGAUGUGUGAGCAUCCGAGGGGUGUAAGGGUGGGAAAGGCCGGCUUUUGGCCCCACUUGGUGGGUAAACAACUCAUUACAAGGUGUGGCAUCUCUCCACAGAGACUUAAUUGACUGCAGCUGCACAUCUUGAACAGCUGGCUGCAAUUAGGGUGGCAGAACAUGGGGAGGCAGUGGCAUUCAGAGAGGGAGAGAGAGAGCAGUGAGGAGGACACGCCUAACCAUUGGACCAGUCAGUGACGAUGGUUUGAAGCUCUCUCUGCCCUGGGAGAAAAUAAAUCACUGGGGAAGAAUACGAUUACAUUCAGUUAUUGCCAUAAAGGGCCAGCUGUUGAUUUUGAUUAUUGGCCUUGUUUUUUUUACCAGUUAAUAAAUCCUCUUUGAGUGCUGAAUUGCCUUGUCUGUCUCUUGGUUUUGCACUACCACACAUGACACACUCCUCCACCUACGGAGUUUUAACAGUUUAAAUGUGUUCAUACAGGUAAGCUCUGGUAGUUCUACAGGUGUACAGCAGGCUUGGUCCAAGUGGCCACCGCUGGCUCCGUCAAGUCAUCAUGCUGCUCAAAAC
This is a long non-coding RNA of Oncorhynchus tshawytscha (Chinook salmon), 6388 nucleotides long. Lineage: Eukaryota; Metazoa; Chordata; Actinopteri; Salmoniformes; Salmonidae. The record is from Ensembl.